Molecule: ribosomal RNA, 370 nt
Filed under: Salmonella enterica
Lineage: Bacteria; Pseudomonadati; Pseudomonadota; Gammaproteobacteria; Enterobacterales; Enterobacteriaceae
Also listed under: 1 other name
Description: bacterial SSU rRNA
Rfam family: Bacterial small subunit ribosomal RNA
Source: RNAcentral
GUAACAGGAAGCAGCUUGCUGCUUUGCUGACGAGUGGCGGACGGGUGAGUAAUGUCUGGGAAACUGCCUGAUGGAGGGGGAUAACUACUGGAAACGGUGGCUAAUACCGCAUAACGUCGCAAGACCAAAGAGGGGGACCUUCGGGCCUCUUGCCAUCAGAUGUGCCCAGAUGGGAUUAGCUUGUUGGUGAGGUAACGGCUCACCAAGGCGACGAUCCCUAGCUGGUCUGAGAGGAUGACCAGCCACACUGGAACUGAGACACGGUCCAGACUCCUACGGGAGGCAGCAGUGGGGAAUAUUGCACAAUGGGCGCAAGCCUGAUGCAGCCAUGCCGCGUGUAUGAAGAAGGCCUUCGGGUUGUAAAGUACUU